Molecule: non-coding RNA, 1735 nt
Organism: Chlorocebus sabaeus (green monkey)
Lineage: Eukaryota; Metazoa; Chordata; Mammalia; Primates; Cercopithecidae
Source: RefSeq, a predicted model, not a curated record
AGUGAGCCAGGAUAACAGCACUACACUCCAGCCUGGGUGACAGAGCAAAACUUUAUCUCAAAAAAAAAAAAAAAGAAAAAAAGAAUUGACAUACAAAGUCUAAAAUUUACACAUAAAAUGAGUCCUUUUCAAACAUAAAGAUCUCCUUCCAGACAAGCUUUAGUUAUGAAUUCUAUAUCCAAUGACUUCUCUCUUCAUUUUCAGAACUUCUUGCUGCUCCUAGUAGCCCCGAGGACCCAGUGAACAAAGCCAGUGAAUAAUUCCAUGAAGGGGCCCAUGACAUCAGUCAUUCUCUCCCAGCUCAGAUGCCAAAGCGAAUGGUUGGCAGAACCACGUGUGGCCACAGAGUCAUGAGGAAGGGCACCUCUACCCAGAAGUCAUAGGCAGCCCAGGAAAUGAGAGACUUGACGCAGUUCUCACACCCUCUUCUCUUGCCACAUUGAAAACUAAAACAUUGCAUAAACGAGCUUUAAAAAUAAAAUACAUAGGUCAUCUUUGGCACUAACUUUAAAACAAUCUGUAUUUUUAGUUAACUCGCCAAAGGCUGCAUCUUAGAAAACUAGAAUGAGAAGAAGAAAAGGGGGAAAGAAGAUAGUAUCUGCUGCAUAUAACCAUAGACCCUCAUGACUGUGAGCAAUGGAAUAGACAACCCCCUCAACUAUAAGAAAUAUCUUUGUUGGGUGUCCAGAGUGUUCAUUCCUCCAGCAAGUGUUGGUUAUCAGAUGACGUGUGAGAUGAUACUGAGGAAUCAGCAGGGAACAAGUAAACAAACAAAUAAACCCUGAACACAGAGAGAUACAGAGAGAAUCAAAAGGAACCAUUUUCUACAAUUCCAUCACUUUACAGGUCAUGAUACCUCAAGAUCAGCUGAAUUGGAGCACAGCUGGAUGGAGGCCUCAGGUUAAUUAACUUCCUUUGAGAGCAUCCAGCAAAUUAGCAAAGACAUGACAAACGAUUCACCCUAGUAUUGCAUACCAAUCAGCCAGGACACUCUGAAACCUAUUAAAUCAGAUUUUUAAUCUUCUAAGCACUGUAGACACCUGUGUGACAUCAGCCACACCCUCAAAUCUUAAAGGAAACAUGAAUACAAGAACAUAUGUGUACAAGAAAUCAUGCAUAAAAGGAUUGUGCCUUCAAAUCAAGUCAACUGUUUUUAUUUGUCAUCAAAUGUGAAUGGAGAUAUGGAAUGCCAUAAACCAGCAGUGAAUCACUUCUUGAAUAAGUCACCUCAUUCUUCUAGACUUUGAUCUGAUAAAGGGAAGGAUUGGACCAGAGAAUCUUUAAGGUCUCUUCCUACUAGUAUGUUUCUACCUUUUGGAUGAUGACUAUGAUGAGCAGAGUCAUAUGUCCCCAAGGAGCUGGCUGGUGCCACUGCUCUAGCCCUGUGUUCUAGAAGUGGAUAGAGGAUUUGCCUAGGGAGAUUUAGGCAUAAGGAUGCUCAUCACUGAGUUGUGUAACUGCAAAACUGGAAGCAACCUACACUUGCAGAACAGAGGAAUGGUGAAGAAGCCAUGGCAUGUUGAAAUGAUGAAAUAUUGUGUUAACAAAUGGUGUUCAACAGUUUGAAACAGAGACUUGAAGACCGCUUAUUUCGAAAAAUGAUAAGUCAAGAAUAUGAGAUACAAAAUUAGGCCGGGCGCAGUGGCUCACGCCUGUAAUCCCAGCACUUUGGGAGGCCGAGACCGGCAGAUCACCUGAGGUCAAGAGUUCAAGACCAGCCUGGCCAACAUGGUGA